Molecule: RNA transcript, 3350 nt
Organism: Alosa alosa (allis shad)
Lineage: Eukaryota; Metazoa; Chordata; Actinopteri; Clupeiformes; Clupeidae
Gene: nyx
Gene name: nyctalopin
Exons: 4
Source: RefSeq, a predicted model, not a curated record
UUUGAAGUGGAACACACACUGACAUGUCUAUGGCAAUCUGCCCUUCCUUAAUAUAUUCUUCUAAUUGAGCUUCACUGAUUGAGUUACAAUGGAACAAGUCCAAAAUGCAAGCAACUGGAAGCACUCUGCAGAAUGUAAAUAAGGUGCUGCAGAAUAAGAACAUGUGAUUUUUGUUUUGACAACCGAAUGGCAUCUUGUCCUCAAGGAAUUAUAUCUCUGUCUUAAGCUACACCUCUACUAAGUGUAUAUACAUGGCAGACAUUUGACACCUCAUCAGUUGGAGGUGUUUUAUAUGAAAGUGAUGGUUUCCAUCAAGGCUUCUAUGGGCCCGUGUGUCUUCAUCCAGGAUUAUAAUCACUGAGAAUGUAUAAGCUCUUAACCCAGUUCACCAUGGCCAAUGCAUCUGGAUGCUAACGAAAAUCUUGGCACACCAUGACCUGAUUGGAGAAUCGCCCUUUUUCCUGAAAAAUCGUCUCAAAGCCUUGAUGCUAUCAGAGUGUGUCAAAGCUAAUAAGUGUGUGUGUGUGUGUGUGUAGCUGAUGUAAUACGAGCAGUUAUAAUCUGGAUGUGUCUCUGGUUACUGAGAGACCCAUUGCGAGAGCUGCUGUUGCUCUCCUUGAUCCUGGAGCCACGCUUCACGCAUCAGUAAUCCUAGGCCCAUCUCAGGGAUUUGUCUGCCAUUAAGUGAUGGCUUUUUGAUGUGUGUGUGUGUGUGUGUGUGUGUGUGUGUGUGUGUGUAUGUGUAGUUGAGGGUGGGGGGUAAUGUUAGCUGGUACUGUUCGUAGAAGAACACACCGCACACAUCUCUAAACACACUCACACAGCCCUUUUUAGAGGGGCAGGGACCUCUAAAUCCGCCCAGUCAUGCAGUGGUAAGCGUGCAGAGUGGAGCUGUCUGUCCAUGGAUGAGCUCAUGGGAACGUCCUCGCCAGCGGCCGUUUCCAGGUGGAGGAGCUGGACCUGAGCAACAGAUCUCUCCUUGACACUUGACAUGCAACAGGUGCCCCAGACCAGUGAUGAUUCUAAUAGUGAUAGGCGUGUCCUCCCUCCUCCUGCCCCACGCGCUGGCCCUGUGGGCGUGCACACGUUCCUGCCCGCCCCGCUGCACGUGCACGGAGGAGAAGAGCUGCAGCGUGCUGUGUGACCGCUCGGCCUUGGGCGACCUGCCCAAGGAGUUCCCCUGCGAGGCGUCUGCCAUCAACCUGGACAAGAACAGCCUCAAGUUCCUGGCGGAGCGCGCGUUCGGGACGCUGCCCUCACUGCGCUUGCUCUCGCUGGACCACAACAACAUCUCUUUCAUCACGCCAGGGGCUUUCAAAGGGCUGCCCAACUUGGUGGAUCUCCGCAUGGCCAACAACGAGUACAUCAGCUACCUGCACACGCGCACCUUCACCUCCCUCGGGCGCCUGGUGCGGCUAGACAUAUCCAACUGCAACCUCUUCAGCAUGCCCGACCGCAUCUUCAUUGAGCAGGUGGACCUUCGCGAGCUGUUCUGCUUCCAGAACAUGUUCCGGCGUGUUCCGAGCGCCCUUCGGGACAUGGAGAACCUGACACACGUGUACCUGGAGCGGAACAAGAUCGAAGCGGUGGCCUACAACUCCCUGCUGGGCCUCCUCAACCUGAAGUACCUGAACUUGCAGGAGAACCGCAUCACGACAAUCCACGACAACUCCUUCCAGGACCUGCGCAAGCUCGAGAACUUCUACCUGAACGACAACCUGCUCUCCGAACUGCCCCAGUACACCUUCAGAGGCCUCGUCUCCCUCAAGAUGCUCAACCUCGGAGGGAACUUCCUCUCCAACGUAUCCCGGACCUGGUUCGGCGAUCUGGUGGAGCUAGAGGUGCUCUACCUGGACCGCAACCGCCUGCUGUUCAUCGAGGAGGGCGCGUUUGAGAACCUCACCAGCCUCAUCACGCUGCACCUCAACAGCAACAACCUCACCAUCCUGCCCCUCCCCACCUUCCAGCCCAUCUACUUCGUCGGGCACCUGUACCUCUUCCGCAACCCCUGGGAAUGUGACUGCAGUCUUGAGUGGCUUAAGGAGUGGAAAGAAAACUACAAGCUGGUGCGAGACAUCCCCUGUGCCAGCCCAUCGUCCGUGGCCGGCCUUGACCUCAGCGAGGUGGUGUACACCCGCCUCAAUGGCACCUGCAUAGACCCAGGAGAACGGAACCUGACCACGGCCGCUCCCGAGACCCCCACCACAGAGAGCAAGCUCAACAGUCUCAUCUCCAAGCUGCUCCAGCAGGAGCUCAAGGAGGAGGCCACAAACUCCUCGGAGAGCUUCCGCAACGGAACCGUGGCCGAGAGCCAGGUGUCGGCCGGAAUACGCCUUAUUGGGUCUGGCCAAUGGCUGCUGCUGUUAUUGUUUGCUUGUCUGCACAUUGGCCAGUCAGGCACCUUGAUGGUGUUUUAUCAGCUUUGUGACAGGCCAUGAAAAGUUUGGCAAAGUUGUGGAGAAAGAGUUCAGCAUAGUGGGGGAAGAAUCCAGUUUUCCAUGGCCCGUGGAUGAAAGGGUUCAGAGUCCGGGCUGUCAAGUGGAAUCCUGCUUUCCUGGAAAGGCUGAUCCUGAUAGCUAAAUAGGGGAAAGGAAGAAUACUUUCAUAUACCAUAGUUCUGGACCACUGCUUUCAUUCAUUCUUUCUUUUUGAGAAAUGGAAAACGGGAAGUGUGGAGUCUUGGCUUCAGGUGCUGUAUCGUGUGGCAUGGUCUGGUUCUCCCGGCCACGUAGAGAUGCAUAUUUUUCCAAGUGCUAUCCAGACACAUGGACAUAACAUGGACUAACUACACCCAAGUAGUGUUGUGUUUGUGCACAUUAGCUAUAUUAUGGUGUUAUUUUAUUGUGUUUUCAAGUCAACAGAUUCCAUUAACCAGCUUUGCUCAUGGUUAUGAGAAAAAUGCGGUUUCAUUUUUUAAAAUUUCUAGUUUGCAUUUUCCAUUCCAUCAUACAUCUGCUUGAUUAUUUCAUUAAUUGAGAAUAAUAACAAUGUAUGAAAAAUUAUUCCUGGAUGCUAUAAGAAAUACAUGCUGCUAAAUAAGAUGAAAGGGAUGAUCAGAAGCCUUGUUUGUUUGUAAAAACUUAUUUGCAAGGGAUUUGAUCCAGCAUGUGAAAUGUUCUUCCACGUAAUCUAACGUAUACACAGGCAUUUAUGUUCUCUUAAAACAUUUCUGAGUCUUGGCAACAUUGCAAUAUAAUUUUAUUUGUUUACAGUUAAGAUCAAGAAUAUUCUUAGUUUAUAUGCGGUGCAAAGGCUGAACACCCAUGUGUGGAAGUUCGUGGCGAUUGAGGUGCUGAAAUGUAAACUCUGAAAGUUGUAUAGUGAUUGAAUUUGUAUGCCAUCAAUCUGAA